GGGGUUUUUAAUAUAGAGCGUGCAGCCUGCCCAGUGACAAUGUUCAACGGCCGCGGUACCCUAACCGAGCAAAGGUACCAUAAUCACUUGUUCUUUAAAUGAGGACUUGUAUCAAUGGCAUCACGAGGGUUGUACUGUCUCCUUUUUCUAAUCAGUGAAACUGAUCUCCCCGUGAAGAAGCUGGGAUUUAAAUAUAAGACGAGAAGACCCCAUGGAGCUUUAAAUUGUGUACUUACUCUAUGUAAAAAACACCAAUUAAGCUAAAAAAACUUAAGUACAAUUUUAGGUUGGGGCGACCACGGAGUACAAUAUAACCUCCUUAACAAACAGGCCACACCUUUAUCUACGAGCCACACCUCUAAGAAUUAAUAUAUUAAUGUUUAAUGACCCGAAUAUUCGAUCAAUGAACCAAGUUACCCUGGGGAUAACAGCGCAAUCUAUUUCAAGAGUCCUUAUCGACAAAUAGGUUUACGACCUCGAUGUUGGAUCAGGGUAUCCAAGUGGUGCAGCCGCUACUAACGGUUCGUUUGUUCAACGACUAAAACCCUACGUGAUCUGAGUUCAGACCGG
RNAcentral lists this ribosomal RNA (570 nucleotides) under Chalcorana raniceps (Peters' Malaysian frog). RNAcentral describes it as "Hylarana raniceps (Peters' Malaysian frog) partial 16S ribosomal RNA". It matches the Rfam family "Bacterial large subunit ribosomal RNA", at positions 1833 to 2619 of the family's 2925-position model. The record is from RNAcentral. Lineage: Eukaryota; Metazoa; Chordata; Amphibia; Anura; Ranidae.